Molecule: small nucleolar RNA, 97 nt
Organism: Rattus norvegicus (Norway rat)
Lineage: Eukaryota; Metazoa; Chordata; Mammalia; Rodentia; Muridae
Product: Z6 small nucleolar RNA
Source: Ensembl
UGCUGGUCGUGAAGUUGCCUCAAUCCGAGCACUGGGCCUUGCCUGGGGUAAGCCAGGCGUCUUAUCUGUCUGUCCCAUUCACUGCCUGAAUACAGCA